RNAcentral lists this long non-coding RNA (852 nucleotides) under Salmo salar (Atlantic salmon). RNAcentral's name for it is "lncRNA (ENSSSAG00000097484.1, ENSSSAG00020061746.1)". The record is from RNAcentral. Lineage: Eukaryota; Metazoa; Chordata; Actinopteri; Salmoniformes; Salmonidae.
CUCUUGUUUGGAUGAAUUUCUUAAGUCUCUGAUUGGGAAGAUCUCAAUUGCAUACUCUUCGCGUCCUCUCUCCUUGUCUCCUUCUCAAAACCAAUUGGAUGAGAAAGCCAGAGGUCCCGCCCCUCUGAUCUUCUUCUUCAAUGAGUUUUGAGAAGGAGACAUACAGCUGAAUGUGAUCAAUCAAUGAGCCAGUGAUCGGAUGGCAAUUGCAGGUUCAGGCAAUAAAUACACACCCAGCUAAUAGGGCAACUAAGCAAGACAGAUUGUGUUGCUUUGUUCCAUAUUCUCUGAACCUUUAAGAUCUGCUUGUGCUCCACAUGAUGCCCAGAGGUUAAGAGGCUACAUGUAUUCUGGCUCUUCCCAAGUGGAAGAUGAACAGAAACAACCAAGUGAUGGCUAUUCUCAGGAUCAAAUCAAAACAGCUUUUAGUACUUCAGGUUCUGUCCAGAGUGACGCUACUCCCAGAGAGACUGGACCCAACACCCAUAACCAGGAACUAUCCCCCAGAGGCUAUGCUUCAAGCUCGAUCCAGCCUGCCCCAAGAAUGUUAGGCCUCUCUGGCUCUAUAGCCAGUAGAACCUCUGUCAGCCACAACAAGCGUCACACCCUUGCCAGUAUAACCUCAGGCCAAGGUGUCACCAACCCUAGUGCAGUGAGGAUGGUUUCAAGUUGGGACGCAAAGGGAAUCCAGCCCAAAACCUUUUCGUUACAGCCUCGUUCAAGCAACUCUGGAUCUGUUCAGAAAUUCCUGGGAAGCCAUUUAUUCAAGUCAACCCCCCAGAAUUCUGUGGCACAAAGUGGAAUUGACCAGUCCGUAAGGGAAAUGGCUUCCACCCCUUACCUUCAAGCUCC